UACGGGGGGGGCAAGCGUUGUUCGGAAUUACUGGGCGUAAAGGGCUCGUAGGCGGCCAACUAAGUCAGACGUGAAAUCCCUCGGCUUAACCGGGGAACUGCGUCUGAUACUGGAUGGCUUGAGAUUGGGAGAGGGAUGCGGAAUUCCAGGUGUAGCGGUGAAAUGCGUAGAUAUCUGGAGGAACACCGGUGGCGAAGGCGGCGUUCUGGACUGCAACUGACACUGAGAGACGAAAGCCAGGGGAGCAAACGGG
RNAcentral lists this ribosomal RNA (253 nucleotides) under uncultured bacterium. RNAcentral's name for it is "partial 16S ribosomal RNA". It matches the Rfam family "Bacterial small subunit ribosomal RNA", at positions 524 to 776 of the family's 1533-position model. The record is from RNAcentral.